Molecule: ribosomal RNA, 386 nt
Filed under: uncultured bacterium
Lineage: Bacteria
Description: bacterial SSU rRNA
Rfam family: Bacterial small subunit ribosomal RNA
Source: RNAcentral
GACGAACGCUGGCGGCGUGCUUAACACAUGCAAGUCGAGCGAGACCCCUUCUUCGGGAGGGUGUUCUAGCGGCGAACGGGUGAGUAACACGUGGGCAACCUGCCCUCAGCUCUGGGAUAACUCCAAGAAAUUGGGGCUAAUACCGGAUAUGACUGCUGACCGCAUGGUCUGGUGGUGGAAAGAUUUAUCGGCUGGGGAUGGGCCCGCGGCCUAUCAGCUUGUUGGUGGGGGUAGGGCCUACCAAGGCGACGACGGGUAGCCGGCCUGAGAGGGUGACCGGCCACACUGGGACUGAGACACGGCCCAGACUCCUACGGGGAGGCAGCAGUGGGGAAUAUUGCGCAAGUGGGCGGAAGCCUGACGCAGCGACGCCGCGUGGGGAUGAC